Aeropyrum pernix K1 is the source of this 75-nucleotide transfer RNA. It matches the Rfam family "tRNA". Rfam says of the family: Transfer RNA (tRNA) molecules are approximately 80 nucleotides in length. The record is from Rfam. Lineage: Archaea; Thermoproteati; Thermoproteota; Thermoprotei; Acidilobales; Acidilobaceae.
GGGCCCGUAGCUCAGCCAGGAUAGAGCGCCGGCCUCCGGAGCCGGAGGUCCCGGGUUCAAAUCCCGGCGGGCCCG